AUUGAACGCUGGCGGAAUGCUUUACACAUGCAAGUCGAACGGCAGCACGGACUUCGGUCUGGUGGCGAGUGGCGAACGGGUGAGUAAUGUAUCGGAACGUGCCCAGUCGUGGGGGAUAACGUAGUGAAAAUUACGCUAAUACCGCAUACGAUCUAUGGAUGAAAGCGGGGGAUCGCAAGACCUCGCGCGAUUGGAGCGGCCGAUAUCAGAUUAGGUAGGUGGUGGGGUAAAGGCCCACCAAGCCAACGAUCUGUAGCUGGUCUGAGGGGACGAGCAGCCACACUGGAACUGAGACACGGUCCAGACGCCUACGGGAGGCAGCAGUGGGGAAUUUUGGACAAUGGGCGAAAGCCUGAUCCAGCCAUUCCGCGUGCAGGAUGAAGGCCCUCGGGUUGUAAACUGCUUUUGUACAGAACGAAAAGGUUUCUACUAAUACUAGGAGCUCAUGACGGUACUGUAAGAAUAAGCACCGGCUAACUACGUGCCAGCAGCCGCAGUAA
This 500-nucleotide ribosomal RNA is filed under the name uncultured bacterium. Its description in RNAcentral is "partial 16S ribosomal RNA". It matches the Rfam family "Bacterial small subunit ribosomal RNA", at positions 30 to 523 of the family's 1533-position model. The record is from RNAcentral.